UCGACGGCAGCACGGGGGCAACCCUGGUGGCGAGUGGCGAACGGGUGAGUAAUAUAUCGGAACAUGUCCGGAAGUGGGGGAUAACGUACCGAAAGGUACGCUAAUACCGCAUAUGCCCUGAGGGGGAAAGCGGGGGAUCGUAAGACCUCGCGCUUUCGGAGUGGCCGAUAUCAGAUUAGCUAGUUGGUGAGGUAAAGGCUCACCAAGGCGACGAUCUGUAGCUGGUCUGAGAGGACGACCAGCCACACUGGAACUGAGACACGGUCCAGACUCCUACGGGAGGCAGCAGUGGGGAAUUUUGGACAAUGGGCGCAAGCCUGAUCCAGCCAUGCCGCGUGAGUGAAGAAGGCCUUCGGGUUGUAAAGCUCUUUCAGCCGGAAAGAAAACGCACGGGAUAAUACCUUGUGUGGAUGACGGUACCGGAAGAAGAAGCACCGGCUAACUACGUGCCAGCAGCCGCGGUAAUACGUAGGGUGCGAGCGUUAAUCGGAAUUACUGGGCGUAAAGCGUGCGCAGGCGGUUUUGUAAGACAGAUGUGAAAUCCCCGGGCUUAACCUGGGAACUGCAUUUGUGACUGCAAGACUAGAGUACGGCAGAGGGGGGUAGAAUUCCACGUGUAGCAGUGAAAUGCGUAGAUAUGUGGAGGAAUACCGAUGGCGAAGGCAGCCCCCUGGGUCGAUACUGACGCU
RNAcentral lists this ribosomal RNA (689 nucleotides) under uncultured bacterium. RNAcentral's name for it is "bacterial SSU rRNA". It matches the Rfam family "Bacterial small subunit ribosomal RNA", at positions 62 to 747 of the family's 1533-position model. The record is from RNAcentral.